RNAcentral lists this ribosomal RNA (327 nucleotides) under uncultured eukaryote. RNAcentral's name for it is "partial 18S ribosomal RNA". It matches the Rfam family "Eukaryotic small subunit ribosomal RNA", at positions 1470 to 1796 of the family's 1831-position model. The record is from RNAcentral.
CCCUUAGAUGUUCUGGGCUGCACGCGCGCUACACUGGUGCGUUCAGCGAGUUUAGCACCUUAACAGAUAUGUUUGGGUAAUCUUCUGAAAACGCACCGUGAUGGGGAUCGAUUAUUGUAAUUAUUAAUCGUCAACGAGGAAUUCCUAGUAAGUGUGAAUCAUCAGUUCGCGCUGAUUACGUCCCUGCCCUUUGUACACACCGCCCGUCGCUGCUACCGAUUGAGUGAUCCGGUGAAUGUUUUGGAUCGGCUUCAAGUUGGUUCGCGCCUCUUGCUUGCUGUGAAAUCAUGUAAACCUUAUUGCUUAGAGGAAGGAGAAGUCGUAACA